Molecule: ribosomal RNA, 562 nt
Filed under: uncultured bacterium
Lineage: Bacteria
Description: partial 16S ribosomal RNA
Rfam family: Bacterial small subunit ribosomal RNA
Source: RNAcentral
UGGGGAAUAUUGGACAAUGGGCGCAAGCCUGAUCCAGCAAUGCCGCGUGAGUGAUGAAGGCCUUAGGGUUGUAAAGCUCUUUCGCACGCGACGAUGAUGACGGUAGCGUGAGAAGAAGCCCCGGCUAACUUCGUGCCAGCAGCCGCGGUAAUACGAAGGGGGCUAGCGUUGUUCGGAAUUACUGGGCGUAAAGGGCGCGUAGGCGGCCUGUUUAGUCAGAAGUGAAAGCCCCGGGCUCAACCUGGGAAUAGCUUUUGAUACUGGCAGGCUUGAGUUCCGGAGAGGAUGGUGGAAUUCCCAGUGUAGAGGUGAAAUUCGUAGAUAUUGGGAAGAACACCGGUGGCGAAGGCGGCCAUCUGGACGGACACUGACGCUGAGGCGCGAAAGCGUGGGGAGCAAACAGGAUUAGAUACCCUGGUAGUCCACGCCCGUAAACGAUGAAUGCUAGACGUCGGGGUGCAUGCACUUCGGUGUCGCCGCUAACGCAUUAAGCAUUCCGCCUGGGGGAGUACGGCCGCAAGGUUAAAACUUAAAGGAAUUGACGGGGUCAUAGCUGUUUCCU